This 2238-nucleotide long non-coding RNA is filed under the name Homo sapiens (human). Its description in RNAcentral is "non-protein coding lnc-SLC7A7-1:8". The record is from RNAcentral. Lineage: Eukaryota; Metazoa; Chordata; Mammalia; Primates; Hominidae.
GAAGUGGGUAAAAAUCUGUAAAGCCACGUUACCAUUAGCACGCAGAGAGCCUUUUCUGGAGAUUGAAAGGAAGUUGAAGAGCUGGGUUAGCUAUCAUCGUAAGCUAUCAUCGUUAGUGAUGGCGUAAACCUGGGUAAUUUUCCUCUAAUGUCGCGAUUGUCCUCUGAUUUGUAAGUUUAAAAAUAGCCUCAGAAAAGGCUUGGCUGUACUUGCAGAGGAUUUUUCCCACUCAAUGAUGUUCGAUUCUUUUGAUUCUUAUUGCUAGGUAAUAUUGUAAUCGCAGGUCCAGUGAAAUUUGAGGGUAGUCUAGAGUCUGACAGAAAUUAAAAGAAGGCAGCUUCUGGGAAAUAUUUUCCUCCCAGAUAAAAAGACGAAGCUUCCAGAGGAGACUUCACCUUUCCAUUUUUUUCUUCUGUAAGUGGGGUGGUGUGAGGACUGACCAUGAGGGGACAAGUUUCCAGAUGAAAAGCUCACGUGCAGGCCGGGCGCGGUGGCUCAGGUCUGUAAUCCCAGUACUUUGGGAGGCCGAGGUGGGUGGAUCACGAGAUCAGGAGGUCGAGACCAUCCUGGCCAACAUGGUGAAACCCCAUUUCUACUAAAAAUACAAAAAUUAGCCGGGCGUGGUGGUGGGCGCCUGUAAUCCCAGCUACUCGGGAGGCUGAGGCAGGAGAAUCACUUGAACCCGGGAUGCAGAGGUUGCAGUGAGCCGGGAUUGUGCCACUGCACUCCAGCCUGGGCAACAAGAGCGAGACUCCGUCUCAAAAAAAAAAAAAAAAAGGAAAGAAAAACUCACGUGCUGAAGAUGGUUGAGGGCAAAGAUAGAAAACACCCAAAUACUUGAUGAUAUCAUUGAGCUGCUGUACCAUGCUUGGAACUGCCUAUCUCCAGACUUUGUUGUGUAAGUUAAUUAAAGGUCUUGGCCGGGUGCAGUGGCUCAUACCUGUAAUCUCAUCACUUUGGGAGGCUGAGGUGGUCUCGAUAACUAGGUCAAGAGAUCGAGACCAGCCUGGCCAACAUGGUGAAAUCCUGUCUCUACUAAAAAUACAAAAAACAAAAAAACAAAAUAACUAGGCGGGCGUGGUGGUGCAUACCUGUAGUCCCAGCUACUAGGGAGGCUGAGGCAGGAGAAUCGCUUGAAUCCGGGAGGUGGAGGUUGCAGUGAGCCGAGGUGGAGCCACCUCACUCUAGCCUGGGCGACAGACUCCAUCUCAAAAAAAAAAAAAAAAAGAUGAUUAAAGGUCUUUACUGUUUAGACUCUAAGUCUGUUGCUUGGGUGUUCUGUUUCUUGAAGUUAAAAGCAUUCAUCUUCAGGGAAAAAAGUUACUGGUCAGAAAGGUGGAGUUUGAUUAUGUUUGAACCCUUACAAAGUCUCUCAAUAUGCAGAUUACUUUCUAAACAACAAAUUAUAGUUUCAGAAAGAUACAAUAACCUGAAAUUAUUUCAGUGACUGCUCAUUUGGAACGAUUAUGAAUGUACCUGACAGAUAUGGCGAAAAUAGGAGGCAAAGAACUAUAAUACUGAUUUAGUAAUAAUUAGUGGUAUGAGCUAACACUUGCAUAUGUUGGAUGCUAUUAUAAACAUCAAUAGAUUUUUGAUAUGGAAACACUGAUUUUUUUUUAGAGAUUACUUUUAAAACUCAAUACAAUUAGAAGUAAUUACAAAUAUACAGCUACAGAACACUUGGCAGGGUGACUAUCUUACAGUACACUGCUACUUUGGUGGCCCCAAAUGAACCAGGCUUCCCAAUAUUUGCACCUUUAGGAGUUCUCUUCUCUUGAGUCUGAUUGGGCCUGUCACUUGCUUUAAUCAAUAGUAGAAUGCGUUGGAAGUGAUGUUAUGCCAGUUUGGGACUAUGCCUUAAGAAGGCCUGAUAGCUUCUGUUUUUGCAUUCGGGGGAAGCCAGCUGCUGUGUUAGAAGUUUGACUUCUCAGACUUACUGCCUGUGAAAAGCCCAACCAACCAUGUGAAGAAGAACUGAGGUUUGGGCCAACAGCCUCAGUUGAACUCCCAGCCAGCAGUCAACACCAACUUUUGCCAGCCACGUGAAGAAGGCCAUUUAAAAAGUGGAUUCUCCAGCCCACUGGAGCCACCUCAGGUGACUGCGUGUGGAGCAAAGAAAGGCUAUUUGAGCCCACAUUGCAAAAUUACAAGCAAAUAAAUAAAAUUAUUGUAGUUUUAAGCCACUAAGUUGUUUAAUAAUAGAUAGCUAAAAUGUACAGGCAAACUUGGAAGAUACUG